This 468-nucleotide ribosomal RNA is filed under the name uncultured bacterium. RNAcentral's name for it is "partial 16S ribosomal RNA". It matches the Rfam family "Bacterial small subunit ribosomal RNA", at positions 28 to 507 of the family's 1533-position model. The record is from RNAcentral.
GACGAACGCUGGCGGCGUGCUUAAUACAUGCAAGUCGAACGGAAAGGCCCUGCUUUUGUGGGGUGCUCGAGUGGCGAACGGGUGAGUAACACGUGAGUAACCUGCCCCUGACUUUGGGAUAACUUCAGGAAACUGGGGCUCAUACCGCAUAGGAGCUCCUGCUGCAUGGUGGUGGUUGGAAAGUUUCGGCGGUUGGGGAUAGACUCGCGGCUUAUCAGCUUGUUGGUGGGGUAGUGGCUUACCAAGGCUUUGACGGGUAGCCGGCCUGAGAGGGUGACCGGCGACAAUGGGACUGAGGUACGGCCCAGACGCCUACGGGAGGCAGCAGUGGGGAAUAUUGCACAAUGGGCGGAAGCGUGAUGCAGCAGCGCCGCGUGCGGGAUGACGGCCUUCGGGUUGUAAACCGCUUUCGCCUGUGACGAAGCGUGAGUGACGGUAAUGGGUAAAGAAGCACCGGCUAACUACGUG